GGGCCCGCACAAGCGGUGGAGCAUGUGGUUUAAUUCGACGCAACGCGAAGAACCUUACCAGCCUUUGACAUGGACAUUAGGAUCGAUAGAGAUAUUGGUUUUCAUUUAGUUGGGUGUCACACAGGUGCUGCAUGGCUGUCGUCAGCUCGUGUCGUGAGAUGUUGGGUUAAGUCCCGCAACGAGCGCAACCCUCGCCUUUAGUUGCCAUCAUUUAGUUGGGCACUCUAAAGGAACUGCCUAUGAUAAGUAGGAGGAAGGUGGGGAUGACGUCAAGUCCUCAUGGCCCUUACAGGCUGGGCUACACACGUGCUACAAUGGUUAUUACAGAGGGAAGCAAACUAGAGAUAGUAAGCAAAUCCCGUAAAAAUAAUCUCAGUUCGGAUUGAGCUCUGCAACUCGAGCUCAUGAAGUUGGAAUCGCUAGUAAUCGUGGAUCAGCAUGCCACGGUGAAUACGUUCCCGGGCCUU
Molecule: ribosomal RNA, 467 nt
Filed under: uncultured bacterium
Lineage: Bacteria
Description: bacterial SSU rRNA
Rfam family: Bacterial small subunit ribosomal RNA
Source: RNAcentral